Molecule: long non-coding RNA, 2089 nt
Organism: Pipistrellus kuhlii (Kuhl's pipistrelle)
Lineage: Eukaryota; Metazoa; Chordata; Mammalia; Chiroptera; Vespertilionidae
Exons: 3
Source: RefSeq, a predicted model, not a curated record
UUGGCUCAAGGGACGUAGCUAUGAGAACGAUUUCCACUCAAGUCAUCCUCCACGGAAACCACAAAGCCUAGCUAACCUUUUCUCCAUGGAAGCAGAAAAAAAAAGCACGCUUGUGUGAGCGUGUAGGGGGAGGAGAGGGCAUGUGGACAGAGAGGGAGGGGCGGUGUAAUAACUCUUGUAGUCGUAAGACUUGCCAGUUGGUAGUUACUAGUAUUCCAGACACUUCCUAAUGCCAGACAAAUGCCCCAAGCCCGGGCAUGUCUGGCUCAGAGAUCUGUUCAGCUGAUAGCAGCCGUUUCUUGUGGGGAGAACAGACCUUUCAGGGAGCAGGGCUCUGAGGCUGAUCAAACACAACAUUGUUCUCAGAAGGGAGAAUGGAAAGGUUUGUUUCAGUCACUUUUUUUUUUUUUUUUUUAAGGCUCUCAAGUUGUUUUAACAAGUUGCUACAAAACGUGGGCUUCCUGAGGUGAGCCUGUUGCUCACAGUGCCUGUACUGUACCAAAAUCCAGAGAGGGAGGGAUCAGAAAGUUAGUCAUUAAAAAAAAAAAAAAAAAAAAAAGGGAAAAAAGAGCCCCAGGCACAAGGCGUAGCCACUCCUCUGUUGCAACCACAAUCAAACAAGGCUCAGGCAGUCCUCGCAGCUGCUCUCCGAAUGUCAGCGCCUGCCGUCAACACAGCUUGAAAGCCACCCGGCUGGAGGACUUUGUGCUGUACCUUUCUCGCCCACAUUUUCCCCAAGCACUCUCGGGAACCUGGCAACAGGCACUGAGCAGAUGGCUAUAUGAGGGGUCCCUGAUGCUAACUGCCCACUCCAGCGCCCUUCUCCUCAGUUCCUUUCACUUUUCAUUAUUCUGUGACUUAUUCUGUGCUCUUUCUGCUUGCACAAGAUGAGCAUCUGAGAGCCAGGGAACUUUCUUUGCCUUUGGUCUUUUUUCUUGAGAAUUUCUACUACCUGCACAAUGGGACCUGGAGCCUGGGAUACAAGAAAAAACCUGGAGUGGAAUCAUAUAGAUGAACAGGACUCUCCUGCCAUGUACAAUAGCUGUGUGUCUACCUCCAUGUCACCCAGACAGCUGCUGCCACAUCCCAUCGCUCCAGCAGCGGAAGUAAGGCGCAUUUUGGACCUUUCUGGGUGAGUGACAGCAUUUGCGAUGAGCUGAGUAAAAUGCCAGCACUGAGGGAAAACCAGACUUCCCCCAGGCGCCUCUGCUCCACCUUUCUCGUGACAUAGAGAACGAGCCUGACCGACGUUAGGCCCUGCCUUCUGGUCUGACAGCCCCUUUGGGAGACAGUGGGUGCUGGUGACGUGGUGUGAACUGUCCCUUUGCGAGGGUGGCUGUGAGACACCCUGCCCCUGAGUGAGCCUGCAUGCAACUGGCCGCUUUGUCCUUGGCUGUGCCACCGAGCAUGCCAGCGCCCUGUGCACAUCCAGGGGGAUCUGUUCCAGGGGCGGAGGAGGUAUUAUUCCAGGUCACCCAUGGGUGCUGCAGGGAUUUUCCUCAGCCACCACAUGACGACUGAAUGAAAGCAUUCCAGGAAACCAGAAGGGCUGCUUGGGCCUCUGGAAUGUCAGCGGAAACUGCUUGGCAAGGCUGCCGGCCCUUUUCUGCUGUGUCAUUUUCUCUGAGCUGUGCUCCCUUUGUGGCCACAGGCUCACUUCCCGCCAAGUCCCACAGACUUUAACCUUUACCUUCCUUACAAGGCAGCGCCUAUUUUUUCCUCUCCCCAGAAACUUUAAUUUUUUAAGAUUUAAGAUGUCCCCAAAGGUCAUGCUAAAGACUAUUUGCAAGAACAGGGGAAACUCACAGAUGAAGAAUACCCACUCCCUUUUAUAAUAAUUCAAAUGUAUUCUGUUUAACUAACAGGAGGGACAGGAUGUAUCGCAUCUGGUUUAGGCCAUAUGCACCCAAGGGUACCAGUUAUGGACUCAAUGUUUGUGUCCCCACAAAAUCCAUAUGGUAAAGCCCCAACUCCCAGUGUGAUGGUGUUUGAAGAUGGAGCCUUUGGGAGGGGAGUAGGUUCAGAUGAGGUCAUGAGGGUGGUGGCCCAUGAUGGGAUUAGUGGCCUUAUGAGAAGAGACACCAGAUCU